RNAcentral lists this ribosomal RNA (983 nucleotides) under Flavobacterium johnsoniae. Its description in RNAcentral is "bacterial SSU rRNA". It matches the Rfam family "Bacterial small subunit ribosomal RNA", at positions 88 to 1077 of the family's 1533-position model. The record is from RNAcentral. Lineage: Bacteria; Pseudomonadati; Bacteroidota; Flavobacteriia; Flavobacteriales; Flavobacteriaceae.
CUUGAGACCGGCGCACGGGUGCGUAACGCGUAUGCAAUCUGCCUUCCACAGAGGGAUAGCCCAGAGAAAUUUGGAUUAAUACCUCAUAGCAUCAUGACCCGGCAUCGGGAUAUGAUUAAAGUCACAACGGUGGAAGAUGAGCAUGCGUCCCAUUAGCUAGUUGGUAAGGUAACGGCUUACCAAGGCUACGAUGGGUAGGGGUCCUGAGAGGGAGAUCCCCCACACUGGUACUGAGACACGGACCAGACUCCUACGGGAGGCAGCAGUGAGGAAUAUUGGUCAAUGGGCGCAAGCCUGAACCAGCCAUGCCGCGUGCAGGAUGACGGUCCUAUGGAUUGUAAACUGCUUUUGUACGGGAAGAAACCCUCCUACGUGUAGGAGCUUGACGGUACCGUAAGAAUAAGGAUCGGCUAACUCCGUGCCAGCAGCCGCGGUAAUACGGAGGAUCCAAGCGUUAUCCGGAAUCAUUGGGUUUAAAGGGUCUGUAGGCGGUCUUGUAAGUCAGUGGUGAAAGCCCAUCGCUCAACGGUGGAACGGCCAUUGAUACUGCUGGACUUGAAUUAUUGGGAAGCAACUAGAAUAUGUAGUGUAGCGGUGAAAUGCUUAGAGAUUACAUGGAAUACCAAUUGCGAAGGCAGGUUGCUACCAAUGGAUUGACGCUGAUGGACGAAAGCGUGGGUAGCGAACAGGAUUAGAUACCCUGGUAGUCCACGCCGUAAACGAUGGAUACUAGCUGUUGGGCGCAAGUUCAGUGGCUAAGCGAAAGUGAUAAGUAUCCCACCUGGGGAGUACGAACGCAAGUUUGAAACUCAAAGGAAUUGACGGGGGCCCGCACAAGCGGUGGAGCAUGUGGUUUAAUUCGAUGAUACGCGAGGAACCUUACCAAGGCUUAAAUGCAGACUGACCGGUUUGGAAACAGACCUUUCGCAAGACGGUCUACAAGGUGCUGCAUGGUUGUCGUCAGCUCGUGCCGUGAGGUGUCA